CAGGUAGGGUGGCCGAGCAGGUGGCAAGUUGUAAACUUGUUUACGGGGCAACAACCCCCCCCCAGCCC
This 68-nucleotide transfer RNA is filed under the name Cyrtodactylus sanpelensis. RNAcentral's name for it is "tRNA-Tyr". The record is from RNAcentral. Lineage: Eukaryota; Metazoa; Chordata; Lepidosauria; Squamata; Gekkonidae.